CUUUAUUUUAUCCUUUUCUUCCCUCUUGGGAUAGCCGAAAGAAGAAGCCAUGUUCUUCUUCUUCUUCUUUUUUCUGCUUUCAAGUCAGUGCAGGAUUUGGACAACUGUUAUUAACUUAUUUUCCUUUCCCUGCAUCAUUUCAUCCCAAUUUCUUCUUUAGUUUUUUCAGACAACCCCAUAUGCUCUAUUUAUUUGACAAGGGUUAAGUGCAGGAGGAAAUUUUGGUGAUUUGAUUAAGUAGUGAUGGAAAGGUUGAACUCAAAGCUGUACCUGCAGAACUGUUACAUAAUGAAGGAGAAUGAGAGACUAAGGAAGAAGGCACAGCUUCUGAAUCAGGAGAAUCAGGCCCUGUUGUCUGAGCUCAAACAAAAACUCUCCAAGGGCAAUCAGAAAGCCAAUAAUGCUAGUAAUCCAAACACCUUUCUUGACCUGAGUCUCAGCUCAAGUUCCAGUCAAAACCCUUCUAGUUCCACCAAUUAAAUGUGCUAAAUUAGUGAUUAUGAGAAGCAUCUUGUGACCCCUCUAGUGACUGUAAUUGUUUUUUUCUAAUCCUUUUUUUUUUGUGUAAAACCAACCAAUGUGAGGAGCAGUGUAGUUGUAGUUUCUGUUCCAUAGGACAAUACUAGCAAUUAAUCCUCUACCAGGGCACUAUUGCUUCCAUUUCCAUGUUUAAUCAUAUUUUCCUUAGAUAUGAAUUUCUGAACUACAUUGUUGUAUGAUGGUGUAUCUGGUCUAUCUGCUAGAAAUGAAUAUAAACUUAUUAUAUGCUUAGCUCUCAUUA
Glycine soja is the source of this 781-nucleotide long non-coding RNA. RefSeq lists it as uncharacterized. The record is from RefSeq and is a predicted model, not a curated record. The transcript has 2 exons. NCBI's taxonomy places the organism in Eukaryota, Viridiplantae, Streptophyta, Magnoliopsida, Fabales, Fabaceae.